Molecule: long non-coding RNA, 4897 nt
Organism: Pseudoliparis swirei
Lineage: Eukaryota; Metazoa; Chordata; Actinopteri; Perciformes; Liparidae
Exons: 2
Source: RefSeq, a predicted model, not a curated record
CAAGACCUGAACGGAGACACAGGCGGCACACGUCAGAGAGGCGUCACGAGGCGGGGAGUUUGUGUUUCAACUCCUGCAACGAGGAGGAGACGAGGUGAAGGAGACGAGGUGGUGAGGAAGGAGCCUUGCUGAAGGAGACGAGGUGGUGAGGAAGGAGCCUUGCUGAAGGAGACGAGGUGGUGAGGAAGGAGCCUUGCUGAAGGAGACGAGGUGGUGAGGAAGGAGCCUUGCUGAAGGAGACGAGGUGGUGAGGAAGGAGCCUUGCUGAAGGAGACGAGGUGGUGAGGAAGGAGCAAACAGCAGUGGCCUCUAAGGGGUUAAACUCCGUCCUCUGGACAGAAAUAAUGUCUUUAAAUGUUUAAAUGAGAGGAUCAAGAGAAACGGCAAGAUGGAGGAGAGGAACUCAGGGUGAGGGAUGAACGCCCCGCUCCACCUCUUCAUCCAACGCUCCAUCCAUCCUCCGAGCGCUGCUUUCCUCCCUCCCUCCCUCUCUCUCUCUCCCUCUCUUGCUCUCAUCUCCCUCUUUCCCUCUCUCCCCUCUCUCUCUCUCUCCCUCUGUCUCUCCCUCCCUCUCUCCCCAACUCUCCCUUCAUCUCUCUCCCCCUCCCCCACCCUCCCUCUCAUCUCCCUCUCCCUCCCUCUGUCUCUCCCCCUCCCUCCCACCCUCCCUCCCUCACUAGAUGACAUUGACUCGUUGCAUUUGGUGCAUUAAAGGGUACCUGUUGUGAUCUCGAAUAUGUAGCCAGAUCAAAAGAUAAUGUGUUUCUAAAGGUUAUUCAUGCACUGACGGUCCAGUAUUCAAUAACAAUACGUAGUUUAGGCUGUUCAAAGUCCCUCAACUCCGACAAGCUUCAUUGCACUGGUGCUUGAAUAUGGCGCCGGUGGUGUGACGUCACAUCGUUGAUAGAUCGACAGCCAACCACAGCGGAUGUGUUCAGAAACCAAUGUAAACAACGUCGAGCGCUCGCAAACAAAUGCUGAGAACUUGAUAAUAAUAAAGAAAACGGGCGAAAUAUGGACGAUGAAAGAUUGUCAGAUUCAGCAACUGGAUACUUGUAUGAACCAUUAAAAGCAGACUAUCCCCAUUUAGUGAAUUGUGACAGCGAUGAUAGCGAUGAUUCUGAUGAAGUUGAUGCCGAAGGACCGCCGGUCCAGAUGCUUCACCGUGCGGACCGUGCACGCAAGUCGGCGGACGUUUGGUGCAGUUGUGGGAAAUGUGUGCCACAAAAAACAGACAUAGAGUGCAUUUGUUGUAAAGAACACAAACGUAUGUCCGAUGAUAUAGUGUCAUUAGACCUAAUCUGCUUUACACAAAAGCGUGAGCUUGAGAGCUACAUCGCGCAUAAGCCAGCGCUGGAGAUGUCUUUCAUUGAUGCAAUGAUCGGCCGACAUGUUCGGGGGCCUGCACCCGAGGGAGAACUGUCAAAUCGGUAAGUUUGCCAGUUGUUUCAUGUCGGCUAAUUUGCGAUCACCAGAGUUGGUGUGAUUAUUACUAAUAUUCUGAAUAUUGUAGCGACCCUGGGUCAGGAACGCUACGAGACGUAGAUGGCUUAUAGGGUGUUUAUUCAAGGAACAUAGAACAAGCUCCUGUUGGCCGUCGCCUACGCCAAAACGACAGCAAAACGCCGUGAAAACCUCCAAACCAGCUUCACGUCUGCUCCGGGUCAUAGCUCUGCUCCGAACGAGUCGUAACACAACAACACACACACAACAACAUCACUCGCUGUCCAAUCACAGACACGCCUCACAGCUACCAGCUCGUGAGACGUUCACUUACAUCCGGAACAUAACAUUUAUCACAUAACAUUCCCUCAGUCCGUCACAAUAUAUUCACCUUUAUUCUCCCAUAAGCGAGAGGCCUAACAUUUGCCUGCAUACUAUCGCCCAUGAUUAUGAUGAUCCUUUAGCAUAGACUAAGAAGCCCAUACUUUAUAUAGCGGUCUCAGUAGGCCGCGCACCAUGGAGGCCGCGGUAUAUCGAAUAAGGCCGCGUCCGCUGCCCGUGUAUCGUGGCAUUAGCAGUAUCUCCAUUGAUUUUGACCAUAUAGAUUGUGUAAUUCUUCAACUUGGUCCGGGCCUGAUAUCCCAACAUUUCGGCCUGCAUGUUUCUCUCAUAGCAAUCUGGAUCGAAGUGAUCUUCACAUACCACGGAGUUUCUGCUGAAUGUAAAUGUUUUUAAAGUAUGCCCGGUUCCUAAAUUGUGCAGCCACUUCUUCGCGAGCACCUUCUUUUCCUCUGUAUUAGGUUUGGGCACGCAAAAGAACUUUUUAGUCUUGUGAGUCCGUUUAUUAUUUAGACAACCGAACGCCUUGCACUGCGCCAUCUUGGCGUGAACUCCAGACGUGAACUGGUUUGAGGCCACCGAUCUAUCCCAAGAAGCAACGCGUGUAGAAGUGGCUCCGGAUUGGCUGAAUUCCUUUCAACGACUCUACGUCAUAGUGACCUUUGACAUGAGUAAAUAACUGGCAAGAUGUCUGCGCACUGAAGCGUUCACGGACUCGGAAUGUUGACAAAGAAAUUUAAAGCCUCGGGCUAUGCGUGACUUGUUGACAAUAGCGGCGGGGAAAAUAUGAUUUAUUUGAUGCGCCUAAUGGAUGUAGCACGUUGUUGUUUUGGGCUACAGGUACCCUUUAAGAUCGUGAUCAUGUGAUUUUGUCCUUUUUUCUUUUACUUCUAAAAGUUCGUCUUGCGCAACUUCCAUUAGGCCUGGGGAGUCAAUCCCUCAAUCUUGAAAUGCGCUCAGAACUUUGAAUUUAGCGCCUUUAAAAUAGGAAUAAUUGUUUGCGAAGUUAUUUUUUUCCUCCCUGAUAUAAGAUUAAUUAAUUUGAGAAGAAUUUAGGACUUUUUACUAAACUAUAAAGCAUAAAAUGACCUGUUUUAAUGGAUGUUCUUCUUCUUCCUCUCCCUGAUGUCGUGAGAAUAUGAAAUAUUCAUUCUCUCUCCCCGUCUGCCUCCUGGGGGUCUGAGCGUGACACCCGGUCCUCACACUGCUGUUUCACCACACACACACUCACACACACACACACACACACACACACACACACACACACACACACACACACACAGGACAGAAAUGGCCUGGCAUGGUGCGAGCGUGUGUGUGUUUCACUUCGUCUUACGCAACAGCCUCUACUUCAACGACAGUAAAGCCUCAACCUCAGCCUGAAGUUCAACUGUCACCAUGGCAACAAAGAGCCGCAGCAGCGGCAGUCACCCACACACAUUCAUCCAAAAUAUAUAUAUAUAUAUAUAUCCACACACACACACAUAGUACAAACAGCUGUUUGGGAGCCCGGGGGCAGAAGAUUACAUCGUUACCCCUGAAUGGAUGAGAAUGUGAACGCAACCCGACCAUUAUUGUUAAAACACAGACUCUCGACUGCAGAGCGUCGGUUCAUUUGCAUUUAAAUGAUAUUCAUAGCGGCCGCGUAUCCUGACGGGCAAAGUGUCGGGCGACCGCGGCGUGCACGGCUCUCUCCUCCAAUCGACUCGCAGAGCUGUUGGCGUUGACGCGGUCUCCCUGCGUCGGAACCGAGUCGCUCUAGAUGAGGUUUACUGACCCGGCGGUCUUGUAUUUGAUUUCAUUACCGCGGUAUGAACUGAUUUGGGGCAUUUUUUCGAUCCUCCAGUUCCUGGCCGGGCUGCACUGUGUGUGUGUGUGUGUGUGUGUGUGUGUGGAUCAAUGCACUAAUCCUGUUAACAGUCCCCUGAGCCCAGAUUGAAGGGGCUUGAUCAACGCAUUAGCCGCCACACGCGCGGGUCACGGCCUGGUGUCGCCUCACAGCCGGCCGGCCCUCACAAAAAACAAACAACUUUUGUUUUUUUGCGUACAUCCAUGGAAACUGUUCAACGCGCCAACAAACAUGGACGUCUUUCAAGAUGCUGAAUGUGUGUAAGGAAGCAGUGCAACAACAAAGGAGGCAGGGGAGGAACUUUACAUAUUCUAUAGGGGGCAAUCAGUGUUGUAAUUCCACUACUUUUAGCGGUAACGAGCAUGUAACAAAGUAUUUUUUUAAAUCAACUAACGCAGUUACAAUUACUGAAAUUUAAAUGAGUUCGUUACUCGCGUUACUCUCUUUUGUGAAAAAUGAACACUUGCAGACAAGAAGACAAGCUAGGCCGACUUUAGCUGCUUCUGAUCUGACAUCGCAGGACCUUGGUGGCGCAAUGAUGUAACGUCUCAGACGUUAUGGACUGAUGACACGGAGACGGGACGGCGUUAUUAAUCCUCACUUUAUUGGGCAUCCACCAACACAGACAGCGUGCUCCUCUCGGCUCAGCAGCUCCAACGUCAACAACAACGGUUCCCGUCAACCACCCUUAACUCCCGUUUUCCGGCAGGUUAACCCCGCCUCCCCUCUACUCCGCCAAUCACAGGCACGCCCCCUCGACCAGCAUCACGGUGCCACUUCCAGUGUUGCCAGGUCCGCGGAUUUCCCGCGGAAUUGGGCUACUUUUGAAUUGUUGCCGCGGGUUGAAUUUUUUGUCCGCUGGUUCGGGUAGACCUAUUUUGCAUGCAAAUUACAUGAAUAUCUUUAAAUAAAAAUCCAUAUUUUAAAUGAAAUAAUUUAUUUAUACCCAAAUCCUACCAAACUGACUCCAGAUCAGCACGUACACGCCGACACAUCCGCGCACACAGGUGAGCACACUCUCACUAGCACCCCCCCCCCCCUCAAUUAUAUGCAGCACCUCAAGGCACCUUUGUUUUCUCUUUUAAUUAGUGUUAAUACUGUAAUCACUUUUAUUUCAUUGGGCCUAAUGUGGUAAAAAAAAACACUGUUAAAUGACUGAGACAGUUAUUUUGUAUUAAGUUAAGUAUUAAAAGGGACUUUUGUACUACUGCUUGAUUUGAAGGCCUGUUGCCCUGUUGAUUGCAAUAAAUAGGUCUACAACAUGUU